This 440-nucleotide ribosomal RNA is filed under the name uncultured bacterium. RNAcentral's name for it is "partial 16S ribosomal RNA". It matches the Rfam family "Bacterial small subunit ribosomal RNA", at positions 338 to 795 of the family's 1533-position model. The record is from RNAcentral.
UCUACGGGUGGCAGCAGUGGGGAAUAUUGGACAAUGGGGGAAACCCUGAUCCAGCGACGCCGCGUGAGUGAAGAAGUCUUUCGGUACGUAAAGCUCUAUCAGCAGGAGAGAAAAUGACGGUACCUGACUAAGAAGCCCCGGCUAACUACGGGCCAGCAGCCGCGGUACUACGUAGGCGGCAAGCGUUAUCCGGAUUUACUGGGUGUAAAGGGAGCGUAGACGGCAGAGCAAGUCUGGAGUGAAAUGCCGAGGCCCAACCCCGGAACUGCGCUGGAAACUGUGAAGCUGGAGUGCAGUCGAGGUAAGCGGAAUUCCUGGUGUAGCGGUGAAAUGAGUAGAUAUCAGGAGGAACACCGGCGGCGAAGGCGGCUUACUGGACUGUAACUGACGUUGAGGCUCGAAGGCGUGGGGAGCAAACAGGAUUAGAUACCCUAGUAGUC